GGGUUGUGAGGUUAAGCGACUAAGCGUACACGGUGGAUGCCCUGGCAGUCAGAGGCGAUGAAGGACGUGCUAAUCUGCGAUAAGCGUCGGUAAGGUGAUAUGAACCGUUAUAACCGGCGAUUUCCGAAUGGGGAAACCCAGUGUGAUUCGUCACACUAUCAUUAACUGAAUCCAUAGGUUAAUGAGGCGAACCGGGGGAACUGAAACAUCUAAGUACCCCGAGGAAAAGAAAUCAACCGAGAUUCCCCCAGUAGCGGCGAGCGAACGGGGAGGAGCCCAGAGCCUGAAUCAGUGUGUGUGUUAGUGGAAGCGUCUGGAAAGGCGCGCGAUACAGGGUGACAGCCCCGUACACAAAAAUGCACAUGCUGUGAGCUCGAUGAGUAGGGCGGGACACGUGGUAUCCUGUCUGAAUAUGGGGGGACCAUCCUCCAAGGCUAAAUACUCCUGACUGACCGAUAGUGAACCAGUACCGUGAGGGAAAGGCGAAAAGAACCCCGGCGAGGGGAGUGAAAAAGAACCUGAAACCGUGUACGUACAAGCAGUGGGAGCACGCUUCGGCGUGUGACUGCGUACCUUUUGUAUAAUGGGUCAGCGACUUAUAUUCUGUAGCAAGGUUAACCGAAUAGGGGAGCCGAAGGGAAACCGAGUCUUAACUGGGCGUUAAGUUGCAGGGUAUAGACCCGAAACCCGGUGAUCUAGCCAUGGGCAGGUUGAAGGUUGGGUAACACUAACUGGAGGACCGAACCGACUAAUGUUGAAAAAUUAGCGGAUGACUUGUGGCUGGGGGUGAAAGGCCAAUCAAACCGGGAGAUAGCUGGUUCUCCCCGAAAGCUAUUUAGGUAGCGCCUCGUGAAUUCAUCUCCGGGGGUAGAGCACUGUUUCGGCAAGGGGGUCAUCCCGACUUACCAACCCGAUGCAAACUGCGAAUACCGGAGAAUGUUAUCACGGGAGACACACGGCGGGUGCUAACGUCCGUCGUGAAGAGGGAAACAACCCAGACCGCCAGCUAAGGUCCCAAAGUCAUGGUUAAGUGGGAAACGAUGUGGGAAGGCCCAGACAGCCAGGAUGUUGGCUUAGAAGCAGCCAUCAUUUAAAGAAAGCGUAAUAGCUCACUGGUCGAGUCGGCCUGCGCGGAAGAUGUAACGGGGCUAAACCAUGCACCGAAGCUGCGGCAGCGACACUAUGUGUUGUUGGGUAGGGGAGCGUUCUGUAAGCCUGUGAAGGUGUACUGUGAGGUAUGCUGGAGGUAUCAGAAGUGCGAAUGCUGACAUAAGUAACGAUAAAGCGGGUGAAAAGCCCGCUCGCCGGAAGACCAAGGGUUCCUGUCCAACGUUAAUCGGGGCAGGGUGAGUCGACCCCUAAGGCGAGGCCGAAAGGCGUAGUCGAUGGGAAACAGGUUAAUAUUCCUGUACUUGGUGUUACUGCGAAGGGGGGACGGAGAAGGCUAUGUUGGCCGGGCGACGGUUGUCCCGGUUUAAGCGUGUAGGCUGGUUUUCCAGGCAAAUCCGGAAAAUCAAGGCUGAGGCGUGAUGACGAGGCACUACGGUGCUGAAGCAACAAAUGCCCUGCUUCCAGGAAAAGCCUCUAAGCAUCAGGUAACAUCAAAUCGUACCCCAAACCGACACAGGUGGUCAGGUAGAGAAUACCAAGGCGCUUGAGAGAACUCGGGUGAAGGAACUAGGCAAAAUGGUGCCGUAACUUCGGGAGAAGGCACGCUGAUAUGUAGGUGAAGUCCCUCGCGGAUGGAGCUGAAAUCAGUCGAAGAUACCAGCUGGCUGCAACUGUUUAUUAAAAACACAGCACUGUGCAAACACGAAAGUGGACGUAUACGGUGUGACGCCUGCCCGGUGCCGGAAGGUUAAUUGAUGGGGUCAGCGGUAACGCGAAGCUCUUGAUCGAAGCCCCGGUAAACGGCGGCCGUAACUAUAACGGUCCUAAGGUAGCGAAAUUCCUUGUCGGGUAAGUUCCGACCUGCACGAAUGGCGUAAUGAUGGCCAGGCUGUCUCCACCCGAGACUCAGUGAAAUUGAACUCGCUGUGAAGAUGCAGUGUACCCGCGGCAAGACGGAAAGACCCCGUGAACCUUUACUAUAGCUUGACACUGAACAUUGAGCCUUGAUGUGUAGGAUAGGUGGGAGGCUUUGAAGUGUGGACGCCAGUCUGCAUGGAGCCGACCUUGAAAUACCACCCUUUAAUGUUUGAUGUUCUAACGUUGACCCGUUAUCCGGGUUGCGGACAGUGUCUGGUGGGUAGUUUGACUGGGGCGGUCUCCUCCUAAAGAGUAACGGAGGAGCACGAAGGUUGGCUAAUCCUGGUCGGACAUCAGGAGGUUAGUGCAAUGGCAUAAGCCAGCUUGACUGCGAGCGUGACGGCGCGAGCAGGUGCGAAAGCAGGUCAUAGUGAUCCGGUGGUUCUGAAUGGAAGGGCCAUCGCUCAACGGAUAAAAGGUACUCCGGGGAUAACAGGCUGAUACCGCCCAAGAGUUCAUAUCGACGGCGGUGUUUGGCACCUCGAUGUCGGCUCAUCACAUCCUGGGGCUGAAGUAGGUCCCAAGGGUAUGGCUGUUCGCCAUUUAAAGUGGUACGCGAGCUGGGUUUAGAACGUCGUGAGACAGUUCGGUCCCUAUCUGCCGUGGGCGCUGGAGAACUGAGGGGGGCUGCUCCUAGUACGAGAGGACCGGAGUGGACGCAUCACUGGUGUUCGGGUUGUCAUGCCAAUGGCACUGCCCGGUAGCUAAAUGCGGAAGAGAUAAGUGCUGAAAGCAUCUAAGCACGAAACUUGCCCCGAGAUGAGUUCUCCCUGACUCCUUGAGGGUCCUGAAGGAACGUUGAAGACGACGACGUUGAUAGGCCGGGUGUGUAAGCGCAGCGAUGCGUUGAGCUAACCGGUACUAAUGAACCGUGAGGCUUAACCUUACAACGCCGAAG
Molecule: ribosomal RNA, 2926 nt
Filed under: Escherichia coli
Lineage: Bacteria; Pseudomonadati; Pseudomonadota; Gammaproteobacteria; Enterobacterales; Enterobacteriaceae
Description: 23S ribosomal RNA
Rfam family: Bacterial large subunit ribosomal RNA
Source: RNAcentral